CUGGGCGUUAAGUUGCAGGGUAUAGACCCGAAACCCGGUGAUCUAGCCAUGGGCAGGUUGAAGGUUGGGUAACACUAACUGGAGGACCGAACCGACUAAUGUUGAAAAAUUAGCGGAUGACUUGUGGCUGGGGGUGAAAGGCCAAUCAAACCGGGAGAUAGCUGGUUCUCCCCGAAAGCUAUUUAGGUAGCGCCUCGUGAAUUCAUCUCCGGGGGUAGAGCACUGUUUCGGCAAGGGGGUCAUCCCGACUUACCAACCCGAUGCAAACUGCGAAUACCGGAGAAUGUUAUCACGGGAGACACACGGCGGGUGCUAACGUCCGUCGUGAAGAGGGAAACAACCCAGACCGCCAGCUAAGGUCCCAAAGUCAUGGUUAAGUGGGAAACGAUGUGGGAAGGCCCAGACAGCCAGGAUGUUGGCUUAGAAGCAGCCAUCAUUUAAAGAAAGCGUAAUAGCUCACUGGUCGAGUCGGCCUGCGCGGAAGAUGUAACGGGGCUAAACCAUGCACCGAAGCUGCGGCAGCGACGCUGAUGCGUUGUUGGGUAGGGGAGCGUUCUGUAAGCCUGUGAAGGUGUGCUGUGAGGCAUGCUGGAGGUAUCAGAAGUGCGAAUGCUGACAUAAGUAACGAUAAAGCGGGUGAAAAGCCCGCUCGCCGGAAGACCAAGGGUUCCUGUCCAACGUUAAUCGGGGCAGGGUGAGUCGACCCCUAAGGCGAGGCCGAAAGGCGUAGUCGAUGGGAAACAGGUUAAUAUUCCUGUACUUGGUGUUACUGCGAAGGGGGGACGGAGAAGGCUAUGUUGGCCGGGCGACGGUUGUCCCGGUUUAAGCGUGUAGGCUGGUUUUCCAGGCAAAUCCGGAAAAUCAAGGCUGAGGCGUGAUGACGAGGCACUACGGUGCUGAAGCAACAAAUGCCCUGCUUCCAGGAAAAGCCUCUAAGCAUCAGGUAACAUCAAAUCGUACCCCAAACCGACACAGGUGGUCAGGUAGAGAAUACCAAGGCGCUUGAGAGAACUCGGGUGAAGGAACUAGGCAAAAUGGUGCCGUAACUUCGGGAGAAGGCACGCUGAUAUGUAGGUGAAGCGACUUGCUCGUGGAGCUGAAAUCAGUCGAAGAUACCAGCUGGCUGCAACUGUUUAUUAAAAACACAGCACUGUGCAAACACGAAAGUGGACGUAUACGGUGUGACGCCUGCCCGGUGCCGGAAGGUUAAUUGAUGGGGUCAGCGCAAGCGAAGCUCUUGAUCGAAGCCCCGGUAAACGGCGGCCGUAACUAUAACGGUCCUAAGGUAGCGAAAUUCCUUGUCGGGUAAGUUCCGACCUGCACGAAUGGCGUAAUGAUGGCCAGGCUGUCUCCACCCGAGACUCAGUGAAAUUGAACUCGCUGUGAAGAUGCAGUGUACCCGCGGCAAGACGGAAAGACCCCGUGAACCUUUACUAUAGCUUGACACUGAACAUUGAGCCUUGAUGUGUAGGAUAGGUGGGAGGCUUUGAAGUGUGGACGCCAGUCUGCAUGGAGCCGGCCUUGAAAUACCACCCUUUAAUGUUUGAUGUUCUAACGUUGACCCGUGAUCCGGGUUGCGGACAGUGUCUGGUGGGUAGUUUGACUGGGGCGGUCUCCUCCUAAAGAGUAACGGAGGAGCACGAAGGUUGGCUAAUCCUGGUCGGACAUCAGGAGGUUAGUGCAAUGGCAUAAGCCAGCUUGACUGCGAGCGUGACGGCGCGAGCAGGUGCGAAAGCAGGUCAUAGUGAUCCGGUGGUUCUGAAUGGA
RNAcentral lists this ribosomal RNA (1767 nucleotides) under Escherichia coli. Its description in RNAcentral is "partial 23S ribosomal RNA". It matches the Rfam family "Bacterial large subunit ribosomal RNA", at positions 688 to 2437 of the family's 2925-position model. The record is from RNAcentral. Lineage: Bacteria; Pseudomonadati; Pseudomonadota; Gammaproteobacteria; Enterobacterales; Enterobacteriaceae.